This is a long non-coding RNA of Aquila chrysaetos chrysaetos, 4606 nucleotides long. RefSeq lists it as uncharacterized. The transcript is spliced from 6 exons. The record is from RefSeq and is a predicted model, not a curated record. Lineage: Eukaryota; Metazoa; Chordata; Aves; Accipitriformes; Accipitridae.
AAAAACCAUUAAAGUGAAGCGUACGGAUCUGAAGGGCACUGGUAACUAAACCCCAAACAUAACGAUUAUAGCUGUAUAUUUUUUUUAUUUUUUUGUUCCCAUGCGUCCUCCAAAGGUUUCUUUUUUAUAUAUAAAAGAUCCAACACAGAUUUCAUUGAAUAAAUCUGAGAUCUCCAGGUGCAGACGUUUGAAUAGUCAGUGCCAGAACCCCAUGUUUUCCUUUCCAGCCGAUUUUGCUUGGAUCAGGCUCAAAAACCGAGUGAGUCUCGUGGUUUUGUUUACACUGAAUGGGGAGGAUAGGAACGGUGCCAUGGGGCCGUCUUUCAUUAAUAUACAGUGAGGAUUUUGUCUAAAUUACUGCUAUGAAUUUCACAGUACACGCUUUCAAAAGCCGUCUCAGGUGGCCUGAUGAAACGUGAUAGCGCCUCUGCAAACAGAUCUACUUUCUUAAUAAAAAAGGAAGGGGGGGGGAAGAAAUCCCCCCCAAAUAAAAAAAAAAAAAGUACACCCUCAUAACAGCGACAACAAAAAAUAAAGCUCGAGCUGGAGUAAUGUCUUUUAUUUAAAAAAAAAAAAAACCACACAAACCCAACCAACUUAGUUCCCCAACUCUUCCCACCCCCUCCCUUGCAGAGUGUGAUUGUUUUGUCUGGAAAAAAAUCCAAAGUAUAACAAGGGGAGAACAGUUAGUGCUGAUUUUCAUUUGCAUAAAUUUUCAUAUAUUUUGGUGAAAAUAAUAGACUAGUGGAGAGCGGGGCUUAGUGGAGUCAGUGCAAAGGAAAAUCUUAACAUGGAUCGUUUCGCUGGAGUUGAGAACAUGCUUUUUCCCCCCUGUCACCUUAUUAAAAUCAAAAAUUAAAAAAAAAAUCUCUAAAUCCUGGAAGUAUGACCGGAGGCUGCCCCCGAUUUUAGUCCAAAGGAGCUGCUUUUGGGAACUGGGUGUCCGGCUCCGGUGUUUGCCUGCUGAGGAAGAGUUUGUACAGGUCCCGUAGACUCGAGUCACGCCGGUGGCGGGGUCCCACUCGCUGUGACACCUCCACUCGCCUGCCUUUGGCGGUGUCACCUCCCUCACCUCCCUCACCGCUUUAGACGGCGCCAGCCAACAGCAGCAUUUUGUGGCUCACUCUGUUCUCCAGUCUUGUUACGUGGAUUUCUCUCUCUCCGAGUAAUUUCUCAGCAUCCCCUUGAAUGGCAUCUACCACACAUAACUUUUCCAACCCACAAGGCUGAAGCAACUUCCCAUAGCUGAAAUGACUCCAGCACAGCUAUUCCCUAGAAGACAUCCUCCCUGAUUUCUUGUGGGGCCUGUAAGAUGACUGAAGUUCUAGGGAUGAGGUGACCAAAUUUGAAGACAGUAUUCAAAGUGAGGAUGUGCCACUGAUUUAUAUAAUAGCAUUAUAAUAUUUUCCAUAUUAUUCUCUAAAACUCUUUUCUUCAUACAAACCCCAUAAGAUUCUUUUUAAUUCUUUGAACUACGCUGCCUUUUAACAUCUGUAGUUUACUCUGAUCAGAUUUUGACAAAGGAAUAAAAGGCUCCAUUUUUCACAUAGAAUUUUAUUUAUUGUUUGAACUUUAGAGAAGAAAUUGGUUAACUCACAAUUUAAAAUUCUUGGCAAUGUAGACCAUUGGGCAAGGAUUUCAUUAUCAGCCCUUCUAUACCUUCUGUAGAAAUGUGUGAGGCUGAAAGUCGGUGUACAAGGUCUUGGCUCAGUAGACUUGUCUUUUCUUAUAUAAACACAGCCAAAGACUUAAUUUGGAGCUGCCAGCAUCCCCAAAGAUGUCAGAAAUGUUCACCGGUACCCCCUUCCUGACAAAACAUGCUGGGGCCAUGCAUUUAGAUGCCGUUUAACCAGGACCACGCACACGUGCGAGCGGUACCUGAGUUCCGUGGUCUUCUGUUUACUGUACCGCACACCACGCCAGGUCCGGGGAAGACCCCUUUGAAAAUGAGGCACUUGGUGAUUGCAGAGGGUGAGGAUCUCGCUCUCGUGUCACAGCUGGGCAUUAUGCCUUCGUCAGGGUAUUAGAAAAGGCUCAGGGAAAACAGUUACGUCUAUUCUAUUGCCUAAGACACUUCCUGCAGCUACUGCCUUUCCUUAGAGUUACCAAUCCAAGUGCUGACCCUGCCUGACCCUCCUUAUCUUGUAAAAGCUGACAAGAUCACAGCCUGAAGCAGUAUAGCCACAGGCUCAAUACUGGCUACCAAAAUGUCUGUUUAGUAUUUUCAAGAAACGCUGCUCUAAAGAUUUACAAUACCAGCUGCUAGAUAUAUGGACAACACCAACACAGAGCCCUGACCCCUGAACAUUCAGCCCCACUUACACAGAAAUUUGUGCCUCUCGAGGGGCCAACACCGAGCUGCCACAAAAUAGCGAUUCCCUGCCUGCAAGUGAGCUGGAAUUUAAGCAUCAUAUGGUUGCAUACACUCAGAUAUUGGGUAAAAGUAUUUGAAAACUACAGCCUUGAGUUCAGAAUUCAUUGUUAGCUUCUUUCAUCAGUUGCAUUACCACUUUAGCAAUAGAAAGAGCUCUGCCAUUUCUGUGUAAUAUAAAUAUAUAUUUUUUUAGUUUAGUAUAGAGAAUCGUCUUAAUUCUUCCAUGACCAAAGCAGUUUUUCAUCAGAAGUUAUUUUUAGAUGAACUGUAAGUUUCUUCCCUAGCAAACAUUUUAGCUCCACUGUGUGAAAGCAAAUGCACAUUCUCCCAGAUAUCUCUAAGGAUAAACACAGGUUUAAAUAUCCAAGAAAUAUUAAGAGACCGAUCUGGUUUAGUUGUAUAUACAUUCGUACACAACAUACAUUAAUAGUUCUUGCAGAGUGGUUUUUUGUUUUGUUUUGUUUUUUUCUUUUCUUUUUAGAACAGCAAAGACAUGGAAAAGGCAUUGAGGUCCUAUUGCUCCUGUCGGAAAUUUCUGCUGACUACAGCAUGAGUUGGAUUGGGCCCAGAGAAACCAAAUACACACAAGUAACAAUGAGUUGGCCAUACAAGCAAGGAAAAUCACAGAUAACAGGUGCACACAAAUUAGCAAUGUACCUUUUAGGUCAUCCAGUACAGCUCCCUGACACCGUGAGAUUGUUUCCUAUGGCAUAUUUUCGGUUGUUUUGUGUGCCUAGAUUAAAUGUCCUAAGUGAUGCCAUGUCCCUAGGGAGAGAUUGUGCUGCCUGGAGUAUCUUGUUGUCAGAAGUUUUUUUUCCUUUCUUAACAUCAUCAUAUUUCUCCUAGUUAUGUCCCUUCGCAGAUCUCCCUCUUUUCCUUCAUUGAUGCUAUUUUCCUCCACUAUUUUUUAACUAGCGUGAUAUUGUGUUUAUUUAGCAUUAAGCCAACCCAUAGCUAUUUAGCUCAUUUAAUCUUCCCUAACAAAUCCGUCCUUCCAGUCUCCUGGUUAUUCUUCCUCUCCUCUUGUCACACUCCUGCCUGUCAGUAUCUUUUUUAGUUAUGGGAUUUUGAAGAUGUGAUGCAUUUCGCUGGACUGAUGACAGAUCUGGUAUAGAGCUGAGCACCCUCAAUGUCUUCCCACUGAAAAACCAUCCUGAUGUGCUCGGGAGAAAGCUGCCAGGGUUCUGGACAGACACACAGGUAGACUAUCUUGCUCAAACCACUUCCUUGGUGCCACUUAUUCUAUUGGCCAACUAAACCCUAUUAAAACAGUUAACCUAGUAGUUCAAAAAACAAAUACAUGUCGUUACGGAUGUAUUUUAUUUCUCACAAUGUUAGGAGAGAAAGUAGCACAGAUAAAAAGGUCUUUGUUGCUGUUGUUGAGAUUUUCUGACUCUUGGUCGUGGACAACACAGUCUAAAAUUAUGGAAGACGUCAUCUUCCAUAACUGUGUCUGACUGUUAGGAGAGUACAUUGUAGAAAGUAAUUAUAUACAUAGUCAGAAGCCUAGCUGCUCACUUCAGGCAAUAAAUUUUGAUCAACAAACAGCACUCCUUUAGUGCUAAAUGAGAUCUUGGUUGUAAUUGAAUGUCUUUACCUUUGUGUUCUGUUGGAUUGGAGGAAUAUCAUCUUAAUCUGCUCUCUUUAAAUUUUCAUUAAGGAACGUUUCAGCUACCUGCAGCCUCAUCUGAUGAUGUUUAAUGAUAUCAGCUAGCUCGGUCUUCCGUGCACCAGCAGGGGCUUCUUUAAAUUGGUCAAAUGUACGGAACAUUGUUUUCAAAUUUAAUGUACUUGGAAUCAACCUUUUAAAAUAAUGGCAUCUCUAAAGUCAGUUUAUAUACAUAGUGCACACACAUGCAUGCAUUUAUACGUGCAUGUGUGUGUAUGCAUAUAUAUAUGUGCGUCAGUGCACACACGUACAGAAACGCUGAUCCUAUUCACCUUCUUGAAACCAUUUCAGCUAGUAUUAACAUAAAUGUGCUGUUAAAUUGGCAGUGUUAUACAUUUUUGUUGGAGUUUACUUCUGUAACAUAAAAUCGGAAAGAUAAGCUGUGAAACUCAUGCAGCUGAUGACAUAAUGCUAGGAUCUCGUGAUGCUGAAUCUCAUAUUUCUAGGAGUGUGGGAUGGAUGUUCCUUGCUGAAAUAAUUAUACUGCCUAUUGCAAUAUAUGUUUCCUUGUUUUCAUGUGGGCACUGAGAUGUCCAAACCAUUAAACGCAUAUGGUAUAAUAA